CGUAGGGUGCGAGCGUUAAUCGGAAUUACUGGGCGUAAAGCGUGCGCAGGCGGUUUAGUAAGACAGGCGUGAAAUCCCCGGGCUCAACCUGGGAACUGCGCUUGUGACUGCUAAGCUAGAGUACGGCAGAGGGGGGUGGAAUUCCACGUGCAGCAGUGAAAUGCGUAGAGAUGUGGAGGAACACCAAUGGCGAAGGCAGCCCCCUGGGUCGAUACUGACGCUCAUGCACGAAAGCGUGGGUAGCAAACAGGAUUAGAUACCCUGGUAGUCCACGCCCUAAACGAUGUCAACUAGGUGUUGGAUGGGUAAAACCAUUUAGUACCGGAGCUAACGCGUGAAGUUGACCGCCUGGGGAGUACGGCCGCAAGGUUA
This 372-nucleotide ribosomal RNA is filed under the name uncultured organism. Its description in RNAcentral is "bacterial SSU rRNA". It matches the Rfam family "Bacterial small subunit ribosomal RNA", at positions 526 to 896 of the family's 1533-position model. The record is from RNAcentral.